ACACUCACAUUAAAACUUGUGAAGAGUUAAAAGCCCCAGGGAAGAGCCAGGCCAAGGGCACGGGUCAGCGCCGGCUUAAAAGACCCUCUCAGGGCACGAGGCGUUCGCUGCGGGAAUCCACCUGCAGCUGUGCGGCGCGGACCAGGGCGUGCGGCGCGGACCAGGGCUUCCGGCGCGCGCUCUAUCCAACUGCGCCGCGGGCGCCCGAGAGGCGCGCGUUUACUGCGCUCAGGAGCUCGGUGCAGCCUCUUCUGGAGAGUUGGGGGCGGUUUCCAGGGUCCGGAGUGUCCCCUGACCCCGGGAAAGCUGGAACAAAAGUAAAAAUCUUCACUAACAAAAUGAAGAUCUUGCUAAUUAUAUUUGUCCUAAUCAUUUGGACUGAAACAUUGGCAGACCAGAGCCCAGGGCCAGGCCCUGUGUAUGCAGAUGUCGUGUUUCUGGUGGACAGCUCCGAUCACCUGGGACCUAAGUCAUUCCCAUUCGUGAAAACGUUCAUCAACAAAAUGAUCAACAGUCUCCCCAUAGAGGCCAACAAAUACCGUGUAGCCCUGGCCCAGUACAGCGACGAGUUUCACAGUGAAUUCCAUCUGAGCACCUUCAAAGGCAGAAGCCCCAUGCUGAACCACCUCAAGAAGAACUUUCAGUUCAUUGGCGGGUCCCUGCAGAUAGGAAAGGCUCUUCAGGAGGCUCAUAGGACCUACUUCUCUGCACCCAUAAAUGGGAGAGACAGGAAACAGUUUCCCCCAAUUUUGGUGGUCCUGGCUUCGGCUGAGUCUGAGGAUGAAGUGGAAGAGGCUUCGAAAGCCCUGCAGAAAGACGGGGUGAAAAUUAUCUCCGUGGGGGUGCAGAAAGCUUCUGAGGAAAAUCUGAAGGCCAUGGCCACAUCCCAUUUCCAUUUCAACCUUCGGACAAUCAGAGACCUCAGCACAUUUUCCCAAAACAUGACACAGAUCAUCAAGGAUGUAACCAAGUAUAAGGAGGGAGCCGUCGAUGCUGAUAUGCAAGUUCACUUCCCCAUAUCCUGUCAGAAAGAUUCACUCGCUGACCUCGUGUUCCUGGUGGAUGAGUCACUUGGGACCGGAGGAAAUUUAAGGCAUCUUCAGACCUUCCUUGAGAACAUUACCAGCUCCAUGGAUGUGAAGGAAAAUUGCAUGCGACUUGGACUGAUGAGUUACAGCAAUAGUGCCAAGACUAUUUCUUUUCUUAAAUCAAGCACAACCCAAUCUGAAUUUCAGCAGCAAAUCAAGAAUCUUUCUAUCCAAGUUGGGAAAUCCAAUACAGGGGCUGCCAUUGAUCAGAUGAGAAGAGACGGCUUCUCAGAGUCAUAUGGCAGCAGAAGAGCACAAGGAGUGCCUCAGAUUGCAGUUCUGGUCACCCACAGACCAUCAGAUGAUGAGGUGCAUGAUGCUGCGCUGAACCUUCGACUGGAGGAUGUAAACGUGUUUGCCUUGAGCAUCCAAGGGGCUAACAAUACCCAGUUAGAAGAAAUAGUGUCUUAUCCUCCAGAACAGACAAUUUCCACGCUGAAGUCCUAUGCAGACUUAGAAACUUACAGUACAAAGUUCCUGAAAAAGCUCCAGAAUGAAAUAUGGUCCCAAAUUUCUACUUAUGCUGAACAAAGGAAUCUUGAUAAAACUGGCUGUGUGGAUACAAAAGAGGCUGAUAUCCACUUCCUCAUUGAUGGCUCAAGCAGCAUCCAGGAGAAACAGUUUGAGCAAAUCAAGAGAUUUAUGUUGGAAGUGACAGAAAUGUUUAGCAUUGGCCCAGACAAAGUCCGAGUUGGAGUUGUGCAGUAUUCAGAUGACACAGAAGUGGAAUUUUAUAUCACUGACUAUUCUAAUGAUAUUGACUUAAGAAAGGCUAUUUUUAACAUUAAGCAACUAACUGGUGGAACUUAUACUGGGAAAGCUCUGGAUUACAUACUGCAAAUAAUAAAAAAUGGAAUGAAGGAUAGAAUGAGCAAGGUUCCCUGUUACCUCAUUGUGUUGACUGAUGGGAUGUCCACAGACAGAGUCGUGGAACCUGCUAAGAGACUAAGGGCUGAGCAAAUCACUGUUCAUGCAGUUGGCAUUGGGGCAGCUAAUAAAAUAGAACUGCAAGAAAUUGCUGGGAAAGAAGAAAGGGUUAGCUUUGGGCAGAACUUUGAUGCUUUGAAAAGCAUAAAAAAUGAAGUCGUUCGUGAAAUCUGCGCUGAAAAAGGAUGUGAAGACAUGAAGGCCGACAUCAUGUUUCUGGUGGACAGUUCUUGGAGUAUAGGAAAUGAAAAUUUUAGGAAAAUGAAAAUCUUCAUGAAAAACCUGUUAACUAAAAUUCAAAUUGGUGCAGACAAAACCCAGAUUGGUGUUGUUCAGUUCAGUGAUAAAACUAAGGAAGAGUUCCAGCUUAAUAGAUAUUUUACACAGCAAGAAAUUUCUGAUGCAAUAGAUAGAAUGUCUCUCAUCAAUGAAGGCACUUUAACUGGAAAGGCACUAAAUUUUGUAGGUCAAUACUUCACCCACUCCAAGGGGGCCCGUUUGGGGGCCAAAAAAUUUCUCAUCCUCAUCACAGAUGGAGUAGCGCAGGAUGAUGUGAGAGAUCCUGCUAGAAUUCUUCGGGGCAAAGAUGUGACCAUCUUCUCUGUAGGAGUAUACAAUGCCAAUAGAUCUCAGCUAGAAGAGAUCAGUGGGGAUAGCAGCCUAGUUUUUCAUGUUGAGAACUUCGAUCAUCUAAAGGCACUAGAAAGGAAACUUAUCUUUCGUGUGUGUGCUCUCCAUGAUUGUAAAAGGAUUACACUACUAGACGUUGUGUUUGUGCUGGAUCAUUCAGGUAGCAUAAAAAAACAAUAUCAAGAUCACAUGAUUAACCUAACUAUCCAUUUGGUGAAGAAAGCAGAUGUUGGCAGGGACCGAGUUCAGUUUGGAGCCCUCAAAUACUCUGACCAACCUAACAUCCUUUUCUACCUUAAUACAUACUCGAACAGAUCAGCAAUAAUUGAGAAUCUGCGGAAGCGCAGGGACACUGGAGGGAACACCUACACUGCCAAGGCUCUCAAGCACGCAAAUGCCCUGUUUACAGAGGAACAUGGCAGCCGCAUCAAGCAAAAUGUGAAGCAGAUGCUGAUUGUCAUCACCGAUGGGGAAUCCCAUGACCAUGAUCAGCUCAAUGACACAGCAUUGGAACUGAGAAACAAAGGCAUCACCAUCUUUGCAGUGGGUGUAGGAAAGGCCAACCAAAAGGAACUUGAGGGUAUGGCAGGGAAUAAAAACAAUACUAUCUAUGUAGAUAAUUUUGACAAACUGAAAGAUGUUUUCACACUUGUUCAAGAACGUAUGUGUACUGAAGCACCAGAGGUCUGUCAUCUUCAGGAAGCUGACGUGAUUUUCCUUUGCGAUGGCUCUGACAGGGUAUCUAAUUCAGAUUUUGUAACCAUGACAACUUUCUUGUCAGACUUAAUCGAUAAUUUUGACAUUCAGUCUCAAAGAAUGAAAAUUGGUAUGGCUCAAUUUGGAAGCAACUACCAGAGUAUUAUUGAGUUGAAAAACUCUCUGACUAAAACCCAGUGGAAGACUCAAAUUCAGAAUGUCUCCAAGAGCGGUGGAUUUCCAAGAAUUGACUUUGCCCUUAAAAAAGUGAGCAAUAUGUUUAAUCUACAUGCUGGUGGGAGAAGAAAUGCUGGUGUCCCCCAAACUUUGGUUGUUAUCACAUCUGGAGAUCCUCGCUAUGAUGUGGCAGAUGCAGUAAAAACCCUGAAGGACCUUGGAAUUUGUGUCCUGGUUUUGGGCAUAGGAGAUGUUUAUAAGGAACAUCUCCUGCCAAUAACAGGCAAUUCUGAAAAAAUAAUCACUUUUCAAGACUUUGAUAAAUUAAAGAAUGUGGAUGUGAAAAAAAGAAUCAUCCGUGAAAUCUGCCAGAGCUGUGGGAAAACCAAUUGCUUUAUGGACAUAGUGGUUGGGUUUGACAUCUCCACUCAUGUGCAGGGGCAGCCUUUGUUCCAGGGCCACCCCCAGCUGGAAUCCUACCUCCCAGGCAUCUUAGAAGACAUCAGCUCUAUCAAGGGGGUGAGCUGUGGGGCUGGCACAGAGGCACAGGUGAGCUUGGCGUUUAAGGUGAACAGUGACCAAGGAUUCCCUGCCAAGUUCCAAAUCUAUCAGAAAGCAGUGUUUGACAGCUUGCUGCAAGUCAACGUCAGUGGGCCAACUCAUCUGAACGCACAGUUCUUGCGGUCUCUUUGGGACACAUUUAAGGAUAAAUCUGCAUCCCGGGGCCAGGUGCUGCUUAUUUUUUCAGACGGUCUCCAGAGUGAAAGCAACAUAAUGCUUGAAAAUCAAUCAGACAGGCUCAGAGAAGCAGGACUUGAUGCUCUGCUGGUAGUGUCCCUUAACACAACUGCUCAUCAUGAGUUUUCUAGCUUUGAAUUUGGAAAAAGAUUCGAUUACAGGACUCAUCUGACUAUUGGAAUGAGAGAACUGGGCAAAAAACUAUCACAGUACCUGGGAAAUAUUGCAGAGAGGACUUGCUGCUGUACAUUCUGCAAAUGUCCAGGAAUUCCAGGACCUCAUGGGACCCGAGGACUACAAGCCAUGAAGGGUUCUCAAGGUCUGAAAGGCAGCAGAGGACACAGGGGAGAGGAUGGAAACCCUGGAGUACGAGGAGACACAGGACCCCAAGGAGACAAAGGGAUUGCAGGAUGUCCAGGGGCGUGGGGUCAGAAGGGACUCAAAGGAUUUUCUGGACCUAAGGGAGGUCAUGGAGACGAUGGGAUUGAUGGACUUGAUGGGGAAGAGGGCUGUCAUGGAUUUCCUGGAAUAAAAGGAGAAAAAGGUGAUCCAGGAUCUCAGGGCAGCCCAGGUUCCAGAGGUGCCCCUGGGCAGUAUGGAGAGAAGGGCUUCCCAGGGGAUCCGGGUAAUCCAGGACAAAACAAUAACAUCAAAGGACAAAAGGGCUCCAAAGGAGAACAAGGAAGACAAGGUAGAAGUGGACAGAAAGGGGUGCAAGGCAGUCCUAGUUCCAGAGGCAGCAGGGGAAGAGAAGGUCAAAGGGGACUCCGAGGUGUCUCAGGAGAACCAGGAAAUCCUGGACCUACAGGCACAUUGGGAGCUGAAGGAUUACAAGGCCCACAGGGGUCACAGGGAAAUCCUGGCAGAAAAGGAGAAAAAGGAAGCCAGGGGCAGAAAGGACCUCAGGGUUCUCCUGGGCUAAUGGGAGCUAAAGGGAGCACUGGAAGACCUGGACUUUUGGGGAAAAAAGGAGAGCCUGGACUUCCUGGAGAUCUAGGGCCAGUGGGGCAAACUGGGCAGCGAGGAAGACAGGGAGAUUCUGGCAUCCCAGGCUACGGUCAGAUGGGACGAAAAGGAGUAAAGGGCCCAAGAGGAUUCCCUGGAGAUGCGGGGCAGAAGGGUGAUAUUGGUAAUCCUGGAAUUCCUGGGGGACCUGGACCCAAAGGAUUUAGGGGACUAGCACUCACUGUAGGCUUGAAAGGUGAAGAGGGAUCUCGAGGACUCCCAGGCCCUCCUGGACAGAGAGGCAUUAAAGGCAUGGCAGGGCAGCCUGUAUAUUCUCAAUGUGAUCUGAUCCGGUUUUUGCGGGAACAUAGUCCUUGCUGGAAAGAAAAAUGUCCAGCAUAUCCAACAGAGCUAGUAUUUGCUCUGGACAAUUCCUACGAUGUCACAGAAGAGAGCUUUAAUAAAACACGGGACAUCAUCACUUCCAUUGUCAAUGACCUUAACAUCAGGGAAAAUAACUGUCCUGUGGGAGCAAGAGUUGCCAUGGUUUCCUAUAACUCAGGCACCAGCUAUCUCAUCCGCUGGUCUGACUACAAUAGGAAGAAGCAGCUCCUCCAGCAGCUUUCCCAAAUAAAAUAUCAAGACACCACAGAGCCCCGAGAUGUUGGUAAUGCAAUGAGGUUUGUGACCCGCAACGUGUUCAAGCGGACGUAUGCAGGAGCCAACGUGAGGAGAGUUGCUGUGUUUUUUAGCAAUGGUCAAACAGCCAGUAGGUCAUCCAUCAUCACGGCCACCAUGGAGUUUAGUGCCCUGGAUAUCAGUCCAACAGUCUUUGCUUUUGAUGAGAGAGUUUUCCUUGAAGCUUUUGGGUUUGACAACACUGGAACAUUUCAGGUGAUUCCAGUUCCUCCAAAUGGGGAAAAUCAAACAUUAGAAAGACUUCGGCGCUGUGCACUUUGCUAUGAUAAAUGUUUUCCAAAUGCUUGCAUUCGAGAGGCUUUCUUACCUGAAGAUUCAUACAUGGAUGUAGUCUUCCUCAUAGACAAUUCUCGGAAUAUAGCAAAGGAUGAGUUUAAGGCUGUGAAAGCCUUGGUGAGCUCAGUGAUUGACAACUUCAACAUUGCUUCAGACCCUUUAAUCUCAGACUCUGGUGAUAGGAUUGCUUUGUUGAGCUAUUCUCCUUGGGAAAGUUCCAGGAGAAAGAUGGGUACAGUAAAAACAGAGUUUGAUUUCAUCACUUAUGACAACCAACUCCUAAUGAAGAAUCACAUCCAGACUUCCUUCCAACAGCUAAAUGGAGAAGCAACAAUUGGUCGUGCCCUACUGUGGACCACUGAAAAUCUUUUUCCAGAAACACCCUAUCUAAGAAAACACAAGGUCAUCUUUGUGGUCUCAGCUGGAGAAAAUUAUGAGAGAAAAGAAUUUGUAAAAAUGAUGGCUUUGAGGGCUAAGUGUCAAGGCUACGUCAUAUUUGUGAUUUCUCUGGGCUCUACACGUAAGGAUGACAUGGAGGAGUUAGCCAGCUACCCACUUGAUCAACACCUGAUACAGCUUGGGAGAAUACAUAAACCAGAUCUGAAUUAUAUUGCGAAGUUCUUAAAGCCAUUUUUAUACUCGGUCAGGCGGGGAUUCAAUCAGUACCCACCACCGAUGCUUGAGGAUGCCUGUAGACUCAUCAAUUUAGGAGGAGAGAAUAUUCAAAAUGAUGGUUUCCAAUUUGUUACUGAGCUACAAGAGGAUUUUUUGGGAGGUAAUGGCUUCAUUGGCCAAGAAUUAAAUUCUGGGAGAGAAUCACCUUUUGUAAAGACGGAAGACAAUGGAAGUGACUAUUUGGUUUACCUUCCAAGCCAAAUGUUUGAGCCACAAAAAUUAAUGAUCAAUUAUGAAAAAGAUCAAAAAUCUGCAGAAAUUGCAAGUCUCACUUCUGGACAUGAAAAUUAUGGCAGAAAAGAAGAACCAGAUCAUACUUAUGAACCUGGAGAUGUCUCUCUUCAAGAAUAUUACAUGGAUGUGGCUUUCCUCAUAGAUGCUUCCCAAAGAGUAGGAAGUGAUGAGUUUAAGGAAGUAAAAGCUUUUAUAACCUCAGUGCUUGAUUACUUUCACAUUGCCCCCACUCCACUGACCUCCACCUUAGGAGACAGGGUUGCUGUCCUGAGCUACUCUCCUCCAGGCUAUAUGCCUAACACUGAAGAAUGCCCUGUCUACCUGGAAUUUGAUUUGGUUACUUAUAACAGUAUACACCAAAUGAAACAUCAUCUCCAAGACUCUCAACAGCUCAAUGGAGAUGUUUUUAUUGGCCAUGCCUUGCAGUGGACAAUUGACAAUGUCUUUGUAGGAACCCCCAAUCUGAGGAAAAACAAAGUUAUCUUUGUAAUAUCUGCUGGCGAAACCAACUCUUUAGACAAAGACGUCUUAAGGAAUGUGUCUCUGAGAGCCAAGUGUCAAGGCUACUCCAUAUUUGUGUUUUCCUUUGGCCCUAAACACAAUGACAAAGAAUUAGAAGAAUUAGCCAGCCACCCUCUGGAUCAUCACUUGGUCCAACUUGGCCGAACCCACAAGCCAGAUUGGAACUAUAUCAUCAAGUUUGUCAAGCCAUUUGUCCAUUUAAUCAGACGUGCCAUCAACAAAUAUCCCACCGAAGAUAUGAAAGCCACAUGUGUUAACAUGACCUCUCCCAACCCAGAGAACGGUGGCACAGAAAACACUGUAUUACUUCUUCCUGGGAUAUAUGAAAUAAAGACAGAAAAUGGUGAUCUGUUUGAUGAAUUUGAUUCCCAGGCACAACAUCUCCUUGUAUUAGGGAACAAUCAUAGUAGUGGUUCUGAGACAGCUACUGAUUUGAUGCAGAAGUUAUAUCUGCUCUUUUCAACUGAGAAACUGGCAAUGAAAGACAAGGAAAAAGCACAUUUAGAAGAAAUUUCAGCUCUAGUGGUUGAUAAACAGCAAGAAAAAGAAGAUAAGGAAAUGGAAGCUACAGACAUCUGAAGCAUCUUACCUAAGAAUUCAGUAAUUAAUCCAAUACUUUCGUCAUAGUGAUUCAUACUCUAUGUUUAUAGAACAUGGUGAAGAUACAAGGUCAUCAUAGGAGAAAAGAAGAUAGCUCCACUGACAUGUAUAAUCCCAUGUGGUUCUAACCAGAAUGUAUAAUCAUCUGUUAGAGGUACUGUGGUAAAUGACAGGGACUUUUCACAAAAACAAUUGGCUAAUAGCAUGCUAAAUUUGUUCUCCAUCUCAAAUCUUGAGGAGAAGAAUUUUCGGAGUGAAGACAUCAGUAAGAAGACCUGACAAACCAGGAAUGAUUUCAUUUCUCCUGAGAACUGGGGAAACCGACCUAUAAGAGUUAACUUUUCUUUGAAAGCUCUGCACAGUUCAGGCAUCAAUUUUGAUGAUGUAUCUGCCUGUAAAAGAUUGUCAUUAUUUUCAACACAUCUGUAUCUCAGAUUGGACUCCUCUAAAAGCAUUUGGAAUUGGAAUUUCCUAGGAAUAUCUUCUACUAAUUCUUAAAACUGGAAAGCCAUGCCCAUGUCAUCGGUUCUGGGGUGACCCUAACAUUUCAUCUAGCAGUGAUUGUCUUCUAAAACCCACCUGUCAGGCUGCUAUGACCCAUAGUUAAUGCUUUCUCUUCACCAGGACAUUGACAAAAGAAUGGAAUUGGUGAAAAAGAAAAAAGUGAUAAGAGGCUAAUUUUAUGAACCAUAUUUUUUGCUGUAAUCUUUUGUUUAAAUUUUAGCAGCUUUGCUUUGUGUAUACUGAAUUUUUGCAGCAAAAGAAUUACGGAAAAGCACAGAUACUCUAUAUGACCAGAGAUGUUCUUGGGAAUUACAAUGUAGCAAGAGAUAAUUUCUAAAAUAAAAACAAGUCUGACUUGGAA
Molecule: RNA transcript, 9072 nt
Organism: Homo sapiens (human)
Lineage: Eukaryota; Metazoa; Chordata; Mammalia; Primates; Hominidae
Gene: COL6A5
Gene name: collagen type VI alpha 5 chain
Exons: 42
Source: RefSeq, marked reviewed